AAUCAACGCUGGCGGCGUGCCUAACACAUGCAAGUCGAACGAGAAAGGGGGAGCAAUCCCUGAGUACAGUGGCGACCGGGUGAGUAACACGUGACUACCUACCCUUGAGUGGGGGAUAACCUCGGGAAACCGAGGCUAAUACCGCAUAAUAUCGAGAGAUCAAAGGAGCAAUCCGCUCUUGGAGGGGGUCGGCGGCUGAUUAGCUAGUUGGUGAGGUAAUGGCUCACCAAGGCGAAGAUCGGUAUCCGGCCUGAGAGGGCGCACGGACACACUGGAACUGAAACACGGUCCAGACUCCUACGGGAGGCAGCAGGUGGGGGAAUUUUGCGCAAUAGGGGGAAACCCUGACGCAGCAACGCCGCGUGGAGGAUGAAGCUCC
This 379-nucleotide ribosomal RNA is filed under the name uncultured bacterium. RNAcentral's name for it is "bacterial SSU rRNA". It matches the Rfam family "Bacterial small subunit ribosomal RNA", at positions 32 to 417 of the family's 1533-position model. The record is from RNAcentral.